GACGAACGCUGGCGGCGCGCCUAACACAUGCAAGUCGAGCGAUGAAAUUUUAACCGAUCUCUUCGGAGAGAAGAUAAAAUGGAUUAGCGGCGGACGGGUGAGUAACACGUGAGAAACCUGCCUUUCACAAGGGGAUAGCCUCGGGAAACCGGGAUUAAUACCCUAUGACACAUUUCCUUCGCAUGGAAGAAAUGUUAAAACUCCGGUGGUGAAAGAUGGUCUCGCGCCUGAUUAGCUAGUUGGUGGGGUAACGGCCCACCAAGGCCAUGAUCAGUAACCGGCCUGAGAGGGUGAACGGUCACAUUGGAACUGAGACACGGUCCAAACGCCUACGGGAGGCAGCAGUGGGGAAUAUUGCACAAUGGAGGAAACUCUGAUGCAGCGAGGCCGCGUGAGCGAUGAAGGCUUUCGAGUCGUAAAGCUCUGUCCUAUGGGAAGAUAAUGACGGUACCAUAGGAGGAAGCCCCGGCUAACUACGUG
This 480-nucleotide ribosomal RNA is filed under the name uncultured bacterium. RNAcentral describes it as "partial 16S ribosomal RNA". It matches the Rfam family "Bacterial small subunit ribosomal RNA", at positions 28 to 507 of the family's 1533-position model. The record is from RNAcentral.